AUUGAACGCUGGCGGCAUGCCUUACACAUGCAAGUCGAACGGCAGCAUGAUCUAGCUUGCUAGAUUGAUGGCGAGUGGCGAACGGGUGAGUAAUACAUCGGAACGUGCCCUGUAGUGGGGGAUAACUAGUCGAAAGAUUAGCUAAUACCGCAUACGACCUGAGGGUGAAAGUGGGGGACCGCAAGGCCUCAUGCUAUAGGAGCGGCCGAUGUCUGAUUAGCUAGUUGGUGAGGUAAAGGCUCACCAAGGCGACGAUCAGUAGCUGGUCUGAGAGGACGAUCAGCCACACUGGGACUGAGACACGGCCCAGACUCCUACGGGAGGCAGCAGUGGGGAAUUUUGGACAAUGGGCGAAAGCCUGAUCCAGCAAUGCCGCGUGUGUGAAGAAGGCCUUCGGGUUGUAAAGCACUUUUGUCCGGAAAGAAAUGGCUCUGGUUAAUACCUGGGGUCGAUGACGGUACCAGAAGAAUAAGGACCGGCUAACUACGUG
This 490-nucleotide ribosomal RNA is filed under the name uncultured bacterium. RNAcentral's name for it is "partial 16S ribosomal RNA". It matches the Rfam family "Bacterial small subunit ribosomal RNA", at positions 30 to 507 of the family's 1533-position model. The record is from RNAcentral.